UACGUAGGUCCCGAGCGUUGUCCGGAUUUAUUGGGCGUAAAGCGAGCGCAGGUGGUUUAUUACGUCUGGUGUAAAAGGCAGUGGCUCAACCAUUGUAUGCAUUGGAAACUGGUAGACUUGAGUGCAGGAGAGGAGAGUGGAAUUCCAUGUGUAGCGGUGAAAUGCGUAGAUAUAUGGAGGAACACCGGUGGCGAAAGCGGCUCUCUGGCCUGUAACUGACACUGAGGCUCGAAAGCGUGGGGAGCAAACAGG
RNAcentral lists this ribosomal RNA (252 nucleotides) under uncultured bacterium. Its description in RNAcentral is "partial 16S ribosomal RNA". It matches the Rfam family "Bacterial small subunit ribosomal RNA", at positions 524 to 776 of the family's 1533-position model. The record is from RNAcentral.